RNAcentral lists this unclassified non-coding RNA (225 nucleotides) under Hevea brasiliensis (rubber tree). Lineage: Eukaryota; Viridiplantae; Streptophyta; Magnoliopsida; Malpighiales; Euphorbiaceae. The record is from RNAcentral.
GUCAGUUAGUGCAGCAGAGAAAGCAGUUGGUGAAUGUCAUGAUCCUAAUUCAACAGUUGUAUUGAGUAAGGGCAAAGAAAACACGAUUUGUCGCUUGGCCUUAAUGAACAAACGCGAGAUUCCAGAACUAUUAUUUGGUUGCAUAGCUGCAAUGGUCAAUGCUCUAAUAUUACCUAUUUUCGGGGUACUUCUUUCUAAUGUUAUCAAGACAUUCUAUGAGCCGGC